Molecule: ribosomal RNA, 250 nt
Filed under: uncultured prokaryote
Description: partial 16S ribosomal RNA
Rfam family: Bacterial small subunit ribosomal RNA
Source: RNAcentral
UACGUAGGUGGCAAGCGUUGUCCGGAUUUACUGGGUGUAAAGGGAGCGCAGGCGGGGAUUCAAGUUGGAUGUGAAAUGUCACGGCUUAACCGUGGAACUGCAUCCAAAACUGAAUUUCUUGAGUGGAGUAGAGGCAAGCGGAAUUCCGAGUGUAGCGGUGAAAUGCGUAGAUAUUCGGAGGAACACCAGUGGCGAAGGCGGCUUGCUGGGCUCUAACUGACGCUGAGGCUCGAAAGUGUGGGGAGCAAAC